This is a long non-coding RNA of Dalotia coriaria, 901 nucleotides long. RefSeq lists it as uncharacterized. The record is from RefSeq and is a predicted model, not a curated record. The transcript is spliced from 3 exons. Lineage: Eukaryota; Metazoa; Arthropoda; Insecta; Coleoptera; Staphylinidae.
CAGAUUCUUGUAAAGUGUCGCAUCGUUGCUUGUGCAGUUUCGUUAAACGCUAUCGUGGGAUUGCAGCCAGUUUAAUUUAAUUGGGCGUUUAAUGUGCAUAAAUGUUUUUGUUUUUGCUUACUUUUGAUGUUUAUAUUUUAAAUUACAAUGUUGCAGUUUUAUUGUCGAUUAUUGUGUGACGUGGUCGGUCGCUAGAUCAACUGGAAACAUAUUCGUGUUUGAUACUUGCCGUACCCUUGCAAUCCGAAGAGCGCUGCAUUGAAAAUGGUCUACAUCUUGCAAUUAAUUAGCUGUAGUUGGGAGCGCCGUAGAAAUACUACCUAGUGAGUUAGUUGUAAUAAUAUUAAACUGUUAUCCAGGUAUAAUUUUGAUAUACGAAUAUUUGCAUGUAAACAAUUUUUUGUUGAGCCUAUCGCAAUAGCAACACUGCAUGACCGCGUGGUCGUUUCAGAGCGCGCAGUUACAUUCCGGUUGCCGAGCGGAGCAAGUGUAUUCAUCGCGACAAGUUUUAUUUCUCCCUAUUAUAAAUUGAUCGUAAAUCAAUUUAUAUUCAAUAAGCAAUCGACGACAUGUAUUAGAAUUACGCGUGAACGGAAUUUCGGCUGAUAAUAAGCACGAGUGAACUACUGUCGGUCGUCGGGGAUUAUUUUUCGCGUGUAGAUUAUACUUCACUCGUGUUGGCCUGCAUGCGCUCGGCGUGCGUGUCCGUCGGCUGUCGGUUAUCACCCAGAAUAACUUGGAUUUAUGUUUAAUUCGAAUAAGUAUUCAUCGCAGAAGAGUUGCAAAUGUGCGCAUAUUUUAAGGCAAGUCUUCCGCGGCAUUUAAUAAUUGUCAAUAUUUUUCUAUAUAAAAAAUGUUUGUAUUUGUAAAUGUUGUCAAUAAAAUAAAAUUAAUAUAAAUU